GCGUGAGUGAAGAAGGCCUUAGGGUUGUAAAGCUCUUUCGGCGGGGACGAUGGUGACGGUACCCGCAGAAGAAGCCCCGGCUAACUUCGUGCCAGCAGCCGCGGUAAUACGAAGGGGGCUAGCGUUGUUCGGAAUCACUGGGCGUAAAGGGCGCGUAGGCGGCGCGACAAGUCAGGCGUGAAAGCCCCGGGCUCAACCCGGGAAUUGCGCUUGAUACUGUCGUGCUCGAGGCCGGGAGAGGAUGGCGGAAUUCCCAGUGUAGAGGUGAAAUUCGU
Molecule: ribosomal RNA, 275 nt
Filed under: uncultured bacterium
Lineage: Bacteria
Description: partial 16S ribosomal RNA
Rfam family: Bacterial small subunit ribosomal RNA
Source: RNAcentral